Molecule: long non-coding RNA, 286 nt
Organism: Hyaena hyaena (striped hyena)
Lineage: Eukaryota; Metazoa; Chordata; Mammalia; Carnivora; Hyaenidae
Exons: 3
Source: RefSeq, a predicted model, not a curated record
AAAGCUCCAGUGCCCCAUCCAUCAUGUGAAGACACAAACAGAAGAUGGCCAUUUAGGAACCAGGAAGUAGGCCCUCACCAGAUACCAAAUCUGUUGGCACCCUGAUCUUGAACUUUCCAGCCUCCAGAACUAGCCACCAGAUUUACUUUACUAUUGGAAUCGUGAAGUCGAGAUUUAAAAGCAUCAAAGAUCUGGAAGUAAAUUGGUAAAUUAUUUAAUUGUCACUCUGGCUGUUGUAUGAGUUCAGAGAUAAUGGAGGCAUCCAAACCAGUGAUGAUACUACCAU